CAUUCUCCCUCUCCGGCGACACGCAGCUGUUCCUCUUUUCCCCUGUUUUGUUUUUGCCGCAAGAUUAAGGAAAAAGGGAUAUUACAAGCCUCCCCCGACUAUCAAAGUUACUAAGCAGGAUUUGAGGUAAUGACGGGGAUGACGGAAUGGCGUAGCAGUGAGGAAUAAUUACUACUUAAAUUAUGCAGACUCUU
Beta vulgaris subsp. vulgaris (sugar beet) is the source of this 194-nucleotide long non-coding RNA. RefSeq lists it as uncharacterized. The record is from RefSeq and is a predicted model, not a curated record. The transcript has 3 exons. Lineage: Eukaryota; Viridiplantae; Streptophyta; Magnoliopsida; Caryophyllales; Amaranthaceae.